GUGAAUCAUCGAAUUUUUGAACGCAAAUUGCACUCUCCUCGGAGAGUAUGCCUGUUUGAGGGUCAGCCUAUAAAAAAUCUACAUCGUGGCUGUUUCUCGGUGGCUUUCGUCGGUAAUUGGGUCAUCUUAAAUCCUUGUGGUGUAAGCGACUUAAAAUUUUCCUUUUGAUUCGAUCAACUGUUCUAAAAUUUUUUCCUUUACUCUUUUAAGGUAUCGUU
RNAcentral lists this unclassified non-coding RNA (218 nucleotides) under Glomus sp. RNAcentral describes it as "partial contains 5.8S ribosomal RNA and internal transcribed spacer 2". The stretch from base 1 to 65 matches the Rfam family "5.8S ribosomal RNA", at positions 84 to 154 of the family's 154-position model. Lineage: Eukaryota; Fungi; Glomeromycota; Glomeromycetes; Glomerales; Glomeraceae. The record is from RNAcentral.